UGGAGAUGUCUGGUCCUCAUCCAUCUUAUCUGAUCUCAGAAGCUAACGAAGGAUUGUGUCUGGUUCAAACCUGAAUGGAAGACCACCUGGGAACACCAGAUUCUCUAG
This 108-nucleotide ribosomal RNA is filed under the name Salvator merianae (Argentine black and white tegu). Lineage: Eukaryota; Metazoa; Chordata; Lepidosauria; Squamata; Teiidae. The record is from RNAcentral.